Molecule: ribosomal RNA, 276 nt
Filed under: uncultured SAR86 cluster bacterium
Lineage: Bacteria; Pseudomonadati; Pseudomonadota; Gammaproteobacteria
Description: partial 16S ribosomal RNA
Rfam family: Bacterial small subunit ribosomal RNA
Source: RNAcentral
GCGAGGUGGUGCUAAUCCUAGAAAAUUCUUCGUAGUCCGGAUUGGAGUCUGCAACUCGACUCCAUGAAGUCGGAAUCGCUAGUAAUCGCGAAUCAGCAUGUCGCGGUGAAUACGUUCUCGGGUCUUGUACACACCGCCCGUCACACCAUGGAAGUGGACUGCACCAGAAGUAGAUAGUCUAACCUUCGGGAGGGCGUUUACCACGGUGUGCUUCAUGACUGGGGUGAAGUCGUAACAAGGUAGCCGUAGGGGAACCUGUGGCUGGAUCACCUCCUU